GAAAUGCGAUAAUUAAUGUGAAUUGCAGAAUUCAGUGAAUCAUCGAGUCUUUGAACGCACAUUGCGCCCCCUGGUAUUCCGGGGGGCAUGCCUGUCCGAGCGUCAUUGCUGCCCUCAAGCACGGCUUGUGUGUUGGGCUUCCGUCCCUGGCAACGGGGACGGGCCCAAAAGGCAGUGGCGGCACCAUGUCUGGUCCUCGAGCGUAUGGGGCUUUGUCACCCGCUCCCGUAGGUCCAGCUGGCAGCUAGCCUCGCAACCAAUCUUUUUAACCAGGUUGACCUCGGAUCAGGUAGGGAUACCCGCUGAACUAAAGG
Molecule: unclassified non-coding RNA, 314 nt
Filed under: plant metagenome
Description: partial contains 5.8S ribosomal RNA, internal transcribed spacer 2, and large subunit ribosomal RNA
Rfam family: 5.8S ribosomal RNA (bases 1-105)
Source: RNAcentral